This is a long non-coding RNA of Homo sapiens (human), 386 nucleotides long. Ensembl annotates it as cancer susceptibility 22. Its record names the gene CASC22. NCBI's taxonomy places the organism in Eukaryota, Metazoa, Chordata, Mammalia, Primates, Hominidae. The record is from Ensembl.
ACCAAGUAGCUCCUGAAACUAGAUCCCAGACCACCACCCAUGAUCCCAGGCUGGAGGAAGCAGCAGGCUAGCGGAAUUCAGGACCAAUGAGCCAGGAAAGAGGACCCAAUGCAGAGCUCACAUCCCACCCUCCUUCCCCCAUGACAAAGCACUGGCAAACCCUGCCAAAGAAGAAGCUUGGCUGCAAAGCAGUCUGGAACUGGACCCGGGAUAGAUUCACCAGGAGCUCACCACCACAGGGAAUGCUGCACUUUGACUGGACAGAAUGCAUCCUCCAUGCCCACAGAGCAUGUGCCCAGGAUGAAUCUCACUGUAUCCCAGUUCCUCAUGCUUGGCCCCAAACCUCUUUUUCACAGUAAUAAAGAAAACACACUUUACAAAAAGGC